GCCUGGCUGGCUUGGUCGGUAGAGCACGCAACUUUUGAUCUCAGGGUCAUGAGUUCGAGUCCCAUGUUGGGUG
RNAcentral lists this transfer RNA (73 nucleotides) under Felis catus (domestic cat). It matches the Rfam family "tRNA". Rfam says of the family: Transfer RNA (tRNA) molecules are approximately 80 nucleotides in length. Their secondary structure includes four short double-helical elements and three loops (D, anti-codon, and T loops). The record is from Rfam by way of RNAcentral. RNAcentral also lists the same sequence under 1 other name. Lineage: Eukaryota; Metazoa; Chordata; Mammalia; Carnivora; Felidae.